Molecule: ribosomal RNA, 392 nt
Filed under: uncultured bacterium
Lineage: Bacteria
Description: partial 16S ribosomal RNA
Rfam family: Bacterial small subunit ribosomal RNA
Source: RNAcentral
AUACGGAGGCACCGAGCGUUAUCCGGAUUUAUUGGGCUUAAAGGGCGCGCAGGCGGCCAUUUAAGUCAGCGGUUAAAUCGUGGGGCUCAACCCCAUUCUGCCGUUGAUACUGGUCGGCUUGAUUGCGGUCGAGGUUGGCGGAAUUCGUUGUGUCGCGGUGAAAUGCAUAGAUAUGACGAAGAACACCGAUUGCGUAGGCAGCUGACCAGACCGCAAAUGACGCUCAUGCACGAAAGUGCGGGGAUCGAACAGGAUUAGAUACCCUGGUAGUCCGCACAGUAAACGAUGAAUACUUGUUUUCGGCGAUAUAAUGUCGGAGGCAAAGCGAAAGCGAUAAGUAUUCCACCUGGGGAGUACGCCGGCAACGGUGAAACUCAAAUGAAUUGGCGGGG